Molecule: unclassified non-coding RNA, 402 nt
Filed under: soil metagenome
Description: partial contains 5.8S ribosomal RNA, internal transcribed spacer 2, and large subunit ribosomal RNA
Rfam family: 5.8S ribosomal RNA (bases 1-121)
Source: RNAcentral
GAUGAAGAACGUAGCGAAAUGCGAUAAGUAAUGUGAAUUGCAGAAUUCAGUGAAUCAUCGAAUCUUUGAACGCACCUUGCGCCCUUUGGCUAUUCUGAAGGGCAUGCCUGUUUGAGUAUCGAGAACACCUCAACUCUCAUGGUCUGCCAUGAUGAGCUUGGACUUUGGGGGUCUUGCUGGCCUACUGUCAGCUCCUCUCAAAUGAAUCAGCUUACCAGUGUUUGGUGGCACCACAGGUGUGAUAACUAUCUACGCUUGUGGUUUUCUGCCAGGUAACCUCCAGUGAUGGAGGUUCGCUGGAGCUCACAAAUGUCUCUCCUCAGCGAGGACAGCUUUUUGAACGUUUGAUCUCAAAUCAGGUAGGACUACCCGCUGAACUUAAGCAUAUCAAUAAGCGGAGGA